GUCGCUGAAACAGCAGCGAUCCGGUUUGGCGACCGGAAUUGUUCCAAGGCGGACAGCCGCCGACGUGCGGUUUUUUU
RNAcentral lists this small RNA (77 nucleotides) under Burkholderia pseudomallei. RNAcentral's name for it is "isrK Hfq binding RNA". It matches the Rfam family "isrK Hfq binding RNA". The record is from RNAcentral. Lineage: Bacteria; Pseudomonadati; Pseudomonadota; Betaproteobacteria; Burkholderiales; Burkholderiaceae. RNAcentral also lists the same sequence under 1 other name.